Molecule: ribosomal RNA, 309 nt
Filed under: uncultured Bionectria
Lineage: Eukaryota; Fungi; Ascomycota; Sordariomycetes; Hypocreales; Bionectriaceae
Description: SSU rRNA
Rfam family: Eukaryotic small subunit ribosomal RNA
Source: RNAcentral
AAAGAUUAAGCCAUGCAUGUCUAAGUAUAAGCAAUUAUACGGCGAAACUGCGAAUGGCUCAUUAUAUAAGUUAUCGUUUAUUUGAUAGUACCUUACUACUUGGAUAACCGUGGUAAUUCUAGAGCUAAUACAUGCUUAAAAUCCCGACUUCGGAAGGGAUGUAUUUAUUAGAUUAAAAACCAAUGCCCUUCGGGGCUCUCUGGUGAUUCAUGAUAACUUCUCGAAUCGCAUGGCCUUGCGCCGGCGAUGGUUCAUUCAAAUUUCUUCCCUAUCAACUUUCGAUGUUUGGGUAUUGGCCAAACAUGGUUG